CAGAUAUUAGUUUAAAAAAAUUUUAAUUUUGGAGAUUAAAGAUAGAAGUGAUUCUAUAUCUGA
RNAcentral lists this transfer RNA (63 nucleotides) under Phyllotreta undulata. RNAcentral's name for it is "tRNA-Pro". The record is from RNAcentral. Lineage: Eukaryota; Metazoa; Arthropoda; Insecta; Coleoptera; Chrysomelidae.